AUUGAACGCUGGCGGCGUGCCUAACACAUGCAAGUCGAGCGGUAACAGGUGUAGCAAUACAUGCUGACGAGCGGCGAACGGGUGAGUAAUGCUUCGGAAUCUGCCCAUGUAGGUGGGGAAUAACCAGCCGAAAGGUUGGCUAAUACCGCAUACGACCCUUGCCCACAAGGACAAAGGUGAAAGCAGGGGAUCGCAAGACCUUGCGCUAUUGGAUGAGCCGAAGUCGGAUUAGCUAGUUGGUAGGGUAACGGCCUACCAAGGCGACGAUCCGUAGCUGGUCUGAGAGGACGACCAGCCACACUGGG
This 305-nucleotide ribosomal RNA is filed under the name uncultured bacterium. RNAcentral describes it as "bacterial SSU rRNA". It matches the Rfam family "Bacterial small subunit ribosomal RNA", at positions 30 to 317 of the family's 1533-position model. The record is from RNAcentral.